Long non-coding RNA from Bombus terrestris (buff-tailed bumblebee), 892 nucleotides. RefSeq lists it as uncharacterized. Lineage: Eukaryota; Metazoa; Arthropoda; Insecta; Hymenoptera; Apidae. The transcript is spliced from 3 exons. The record is from RefSeq and is a predicted model, not a curated record.
AUGAGUAACCUCUCUAGCGUGAUCUAUGUGCAGUUAACGCAGCCUCUUCUGAAAAUACGAUCGCUUCUAAACAACGCAUAUGUUUAUGCACGUAGAAUGUCAAUACCUGUCGCGUGUGACGUGUGAAGUAACUAAUGUUCCUUGAUCUAUCGCUUCCGGUACGUUGAACAAACUUCUCGAAUUUGAAACCGUUCUACAUAUUAUUAUUCUAUGGCGUAACGCUGCGAUCCUUCACUAUGAUUCCAUCGGUUAAUAUAUAGUAGCUCACGAAAGUAUUUGAAUGCUUAUAGAAAUUUUUUAGUGUUAAUAUUAUCACGAAAUACGAAUGGUUCUAUCGGUAAAGUUUGAAAUAAAUCUGAAAAUAUAUAUAGUGAUUACAAAAUAUUUAGUGCAAAUAUAUAUUUCACAAAGAUCAUAGAAGUAUUAAGCAACCAAUUAUUCGUUACAUUAAUAAGUCUUAAUAUUCAGUGAAAAAGACCAUCUUUAACAUUUAUUAUAUGCUUAAGAUUGAUCUCAAAUUUAACCAGUAUAUUCAGGAUAAUUACGCCUCACUACGAUAAAGACGAAAUGUAAUUUCUAAAUGUUUUAUAUAAUACACGUAACAUAUGCACGAAGGUUUUCUAUGGUAAAAAAAAAAAAAAAAAAAAAAAAAAAACAAAACGACCAUGAACGAGUUUUGGAAAAAUAACACGAUCUUUCUUCUUAGAAGAUCAAAAAGAACUGAUAAAUUCUUCUGCGUCUUAGAACGAAAAACGAAUCCCGAAGGCCGAUGCACGUGCAGAAGCGCCGCAAGAAAAGUGUUCCGCUUACAUAAAUCUCAUCAGCUUGAAAGCCGCGGGUGCUGGAUUACUUCUAUCGUGACAGGCUGCCGGCAGUCUCUCCAACGGAGUUG